This 503-nucleotide ribosomal RNA is filed under the name uncultured bacterium. RNAcentral describes it as "partial 16S ribosomal RNA". It matches the Rfam family "Bacterial small subunit ribosomal RNA", at positions 30 to 523 of the family's 1533-position model. The record is from RNAcentral.
AUUGAACGCUGGCGGCAGGCUUAACACAUGCAAGUCGAGCGGGGUGAUGGUGCUUGCACUAUCACUUAGCGGCGGACGGGUGAGUAAUGCUUAGGAAUCUGCCUAUUAGUGGGGGACAACAUCUCGACAGGGAUGCUAAUACCGCAUACGUCCUACGGGAGAAAGCAGGGGAUCACUUGUGACCUUGCGCUAAUAGAUGAGCCUAAGUCGGAUUAGCUAGUUGGUGGGGUAAAGGCCGACCAAGGCGACGAUCUGUAGCGGGUCUGAGAGGAUGAUCCGCCACACUGGGACUGAGACACGGGCCAGACUCCGACGGGAGGCAGCAGUGGGGAAUAUUGGACAAUGGGGGGAACCCUGAUCCAGCCAUGCCGCGUGUGUGAAGAAGGCCUUAUGGUUGUAAAGCACUUUAAGCGAGGAGGAGGCUCUUUUGGUUAAUACCCAAGAUGAGUGGACGUUACUCGCAGAAUAAGCACCGGCUAACUCUGUGCCAGCAGCCGCCGUAA